Molecule: ribosomal RNA, 401 nt
Filed under: uncultured bacterium
Lineage: Bacteria
Description: bacterial SSU rRNA
Rfam family: Bacterial small subunit ribosomal RNA
Source: RNAcentral
GGGCCCGCACAAGCAGCGGAGCAUGUGGUUUAAUUCGACGCAACGCGAAGAACCUUACCAGGGCUUAAAUGCAGAACGACCGGGGUGGAAACACCCCCUUCUUCGGACGGUCUGCAAGGUGCUGCAUGGUUGUCGUCAGCUCGUGCUGUGAAGUGUCGGGUUAAGUCCCAUAACGAGCGCAACCCCUAUUUCUAGUUGCCAGCGGUUCGGCCGGGGACUCUAGAGAAACUGCCAGCGUAAGCUGUGAGGAAGGUGGGGAUGACGUCAAAUCAUCACGGCCCUUACGUCCUGGGCCACACACGUGCUACAAUGGUGGGGACAACGAGUCGCUAACCCGCGAGGGUAAGCUAAUCUUCAAACCCCAUCUCAGUUCGGAUCGGAGUCUGCAACUCGACUCCGUG